UACGGAGGGUGCAAGCGUUAAUCGGAAUUACUGGGCGUAAAGCGCGCGUAGGUGGUUUGGUAAGCGAGAUGUGAAAGCCCCGGGCUUAACCUGGGAACGGCAUUUCGAACUGUCAGACUAGAGUGUGGUAGAGGGUAGUGGAAUUUCCUGUGUAGCGGUGAAAUGCGUAGAUAUAGGAAGGAACACCAGUGGCGAAGGCGGCCAUCUGGCUGAUAACUGACGCUGAGGUGCGAGAGCGUGGGGAGCAAACAGG
RNAcentral lists this ribosomal RNA (253 nucleotides) under uncultured microorganism. RNAcentral describes it as "partial 16S ribosomal RNA". It matches the Rfam family "Bacterial small subunit ribosomal RNA", at positions 524 to 776 of the family's 1533-position model. The record is from RNAcentral.